GAUGAACGCUGGCGGCGUGCCUAAUACAUGCAAGUCGAGCGAACAGACGAGGAGCUUGCUCCUCUGACGUUAGCGGCGGACGGGUGAGUAACACGUGGAUAACCUACCUAUAAGACUGGGAUAACUUCGGGAAACCGGAGCUAAUACCGGAUAAUAUAUUGAACCGCAUGGUUCAAUAGUGAAAGACGGUUUUGCUGUCACUUAUAGAUGGAUCCGCGCCGCAUUAGCUAGUUGGUAAGGUAACGGCUUACCAAGGCAACGAUGCGUAGCCGACCUGAGAGGGUGAUCGGCCACCCUGGACCUGAGCCACGGUCCAGACUCCUACGGGAGGCAGCAGUAGGGACUCUUCCGCAUUGGGCGAAAGCCUGACGGAGCAACGCCGCGUGAGUGAUGAAGGUCUUCGUAUCGUAAGACUCUGUUAUUAGGGAAGAACAAAUGUGUAAGUUACUAUGCACUUCUUGACGUUACCUAAUCAGAAAGCCACGGCUAACUACGUG
This 497-nucleotide ribosomal RNA is filed under the name uncultured bacterium. RNAcentral describes it as "partial 16S ribosomal RNA". It matches the Rfam family "Bacterial small subunit ribosomal RNA", at positions 28 to 507 of the family's 1533-position model. The record is from RNAcentral.